RNAcentral lists this ribosomal RNA (271 nucleotides) under uncultured bacterium. RNAcentral's name for it is "partial 16S ribosomal RNA". It matches the Rfam family "Bacterial small subunit ribosomal RNA", at positions 1231 to 1500 of the family's 1533-position model. The record is from RNAcentral.
UGGCCGGUACAACGGGCUGCGAACUCGCGAGAGUAAGCGAAUCCCUUAAAGCCGGUCCUAGUUCGGAUUGGAGGCUGCAACCCGCCUCCAUGAAGUCGGAGUUGCUAGUAAUCGCGGAUCAGCAUGCCGCGGUGAAUACGUUCCCGGGUCUUGUACACACCGCCCGUCACACCACCCGAGUCGUCUGCACCCGAAGUCGCUGGCCCAACCCUUGUGGAGGGAGGCGCCGAAGGUGUGGAGGGUAAGGGGGGUGAAGUCGUAACAAGGUACC